CAUCUACGUCCCCGUUAGCUAACGCGACGAUCCAGCUAACUAGCGUCAGGUGUUAGCGUACGGGCCAGGAAGAAAAUUGAGCGCAGGCGAAGUGACCACACCAGUACAGUGGCUGAAUGAUGAUGAUUAGGUUGGGCCUUUUCAUUCGAAUAUCGUAGCAGCCACUACAGCCCCUUCCUGCCGCCUUACUGUCGCCCUAACCAUUGUCAUGGAGACCAUAUAUUUAGGUCCCAAGUACAGGCAGGAGGCAGGCACAAUCAAGAAGAUCGCAAAGAAGAAGAAAUGUAAAGAGAAAUGACAAGGAGCAAAUCAGUGAGGCAAGGAGCAACAGCAGCAGGGGAGAAUUCCCGUGUUGUUGGAGGUGAUGGCACAGAGCAGCCGAGGCAACCCACCAAUCCUGAGAGAGACAAAGACUGAUCCUACUGGCUGCCUUACAGAACAUCAGUCAAACCGAGCUUUGUUAGCGCUGCAUUCCUCCAUGCUGUCCUCCUGUUUUCACUCCUUAAUAAAAAAAAAAAAGUUAAUUAAUUUUAUAUCUCAGAACCCCCUCACGUUUGCUUCAUGAAGUGAAAUGCUUCUCCUCCCGUCUCCCUAUUUAUUGUAAGGGGAACAUAUUAAUGAAGGGGAAUCACUAUUAAAA
This is a non-coding RNA of Poecilia reticulata (guppy), 640 nucleotides long. Lineage: Eukaryota; Metazoa; Chordata; Actinopteri; Cyprinodontiformes; Poeciliidae. The record is from RefSeq and is a predicted model, not a curated record.